CCUACGGGUGGCAGCAGUGAGGAAUAUUGGUCAAUGGACGCAAGUCUGAACCAGCCAUGCCGCGUGCAGGAAGACGGCCCUAUGAGUUGUAAACUGCUUUUGUACGGGGGUAAACGCAGAUACGCGUAUCUGUCUGAAAGUACCGUACGAAUAAGGAUCGGCUAACUCCGUGCCAGCAGCCGCGGUAAUACGGAGGAUUCAAGCGUUAUCCGGAUUUAUUGGGUUUAAAGGGUGCGUAGGCGGUCGGAUAAGUUAGAGGUGAAAUCCCGAGGCUUAACUGCGGAAUUGCCUUUGAUACUGUGCGGCUAGAGAGUAGUUGCGGUAGGCGGAAUGUAUGGUGUAGCGGUGAAAUGCUUAGAGAUCAUACAGAACACCGAUUGCGAAGGCAGCUUACCAAGCUACUUCUGACGUUGAGGCACGAAAGCGUGGGUAGCAAACAGGAUUAGAUACCCCUGUAGUC
Molecule: ribosomal RNA, 460 nt
Filed under: uncultured bacterium
Lineage: Bacteria
Description: partial 16S ribosomal RNA
Rfam family: Bacterial small subunit ribosomal RNA
Source: RNAcentral